This 410-nucleotide ribosomal RNA is filed under the name uncultured Bacteroidota bacterium. Its description in RNAcentral is "bacterial SSU rRNA". It matches the Rfam family "Bacterial small subunit ribosomal RNA", at positions 1 to 405 of the family's 1533-position model. The record is from RNAcentral. Lineage: Bacteria; Pseudomonadati; Bacteroidota.
GCCCUUAGAGUUUGAUCAUGGCUCAGGAUGAACGCUAGCGGCAGGCUUAAUACAUGCAAGUCGAACGGUAACUUAGAUGCUUCGGCAUUUAAGACGAGUGGCGCACGGGUGCGUAACACGUAUGCAACUUACCCUAAACAGGGGCAUAACUCCGCGAAAGCGGGGCUAAUACCCCAUAGUAUUCUUUUAAGGCAUCUUAGAAGGAUUAAAGUCUAUAAGGCGGUUUAGGAUGGGCAUGCGCCCCAUUAGUUAGUUGGCGAGGUAACGGCUCACCAAGACUGUGAUGGGUAGGGGUUCUGAGAGGAUUAUCCCCCACACUGGUACUGAGACACGGACCAGACUCCUACGGCAGGCAGCAGUAAGGAAUAUUGGGCAAUGGGCGAGAGCCUGACCCAGCCAUGCCGCGUGCA